This 646-nucleotide ribosomal RNA is filed under the name uncultured bacterium. RNAcentral describes it as "bacterial SSU rRNA". The stretch from base 1 to 534 matches the Rfam family "Bacterial small subunit ribosomal RNA", at positions 338 to 873 of the family's 1533-position model. The record is from RNAcentral.
CCUACGGGAGGCAGCAGUGAGGAAUCUUCCACAAUGGGCGAAAGCCUGAUGGAGCAAUGCCGCGUGCAGGAUGACGGCCUUCGGGUUGUAAACUGCUUUUAUAUGGGAAGAUUAUGACGGUACCAUAUGAAUAAGGACCGGCUAACUACGUGCCAGCAGCCGCGGUAAUACGUAGGGUCCAAGCGUUAUCCGGAAUCACUGGGCGUAAAGCGUUUGUAGGCGGAAAUCUAAGUGAGAUGCGAAAUCUUGUGGCUCAACCAUAUAGACGGUAUCUCAUACUGGGUUUCUAGAAGAUAGCAGAGGUAAGUGGAAUUAGUAGUGUAGCGGUAAAAUGCGUAGAUAUUACUAGGAACACCAAUGGCGAAGGCAGCUUACUGGGCUAUAUUUGACGCUGAGAAACGAAAGCUGGGGAGCGAACAGGAUUAGAUACCCUGGUAGUCCACGCCGUAAACCGAUGUGUGNUAUUAGUUACGUAGGUAGUACGUACCCGUACCGGUCGUGUACGAGACGUAACGUACGUAACGUACGACCACCGACCGUCGGGAGGGUACGGAGGACGGCGACGACGUAAACCGUUAAACCUAAACUUAAGUUAAGUUAGUUACGGUUACGUGAGGACGAGCGACGGACGACGACGAGGAGGAGG